Molecule: ribosomal RNA, 253 nt
Filed under: uncultured bacterium
Lineage: Bacteria
Description: partial 16S ribosomal RNA
Rfam family: Bacterial small subunit ribosomal RNA
Source: RNAcentral
UACAGAGGGGGCAAGCGUUAUUCGGAAUUAUUGGGCGUAAAGGGCGCGUAGGCGGCCUGGCAAGUGGAAGGUGAAAUCCCUCGGCUUAACCGAGGAACUGCCUUCCAAACUGCUUGGCUUGAGUCCGGGAGAGGUGAGUGGAAUUCCCAGUGUAGCGGUGAAAUGCGUAGAUAUUGGGAGGAACACCAGUGGCGAAGGCGGCUCACUGGACCGGAACUGACGCUGAUGCGCGAAAGCGUGGGGAGCAAACGGG